ACUUAAAUAGCUUAUAGAAGAGUUUAAUAUUGAAGAUAUUAAGGAGAUUAUUUAAAUCUUUAAGUA
RNAcentral lists this transfer RNA (66 nucleotides) under Papilio bianor (Chinese peacock). RNAcentral's name for it is "tRNA-Phe". RNAcentral also lists the same sequence under 2 other names. The record is from RNAcentral. Lineage: Eukaryota; Metazoa; Arthropoda; Insecta; Lepidoptera; Papilionidae.